AUGGUUAAGUUAGAAAGGGCGCACGGUGAAUGCCUUGGCACUAGGAGCCGAUGAAGGACGGGACUAACACCGAUAUGCUUCGGGGAGCUGUAAGUGAGCUUUGAUCCGGAGAUUUCCGAAUGGGGAAACCCACUGUUCGUAAUGGAACAGUAUCUUUAUCUGAAUACAUAGGAUAUUGAAGGCAGACCCGGGGAACUGAAACAUCUAAGUACCCGGAGGAAGAGAAAGCAAAUGCGAUUUCCUGAGUAGCGGCGAGCGAAACGGAAUUAGCCCAAACCAAGAGGCUUGCCUCUUGGGGUUGUAGGACACUCUAUACGGAGUUACAAAGGAACGAAGUAAAUGAAGCGACCUGGAAAGGUCCGUCGAAGAAGGUAACAACCCUGUAGUUGAAACUUCGUUCCCUCUUGAGUGGAUCCUGAGUACGGCGGAACACGUGAAAUUCCGUCGGAAGCUGGGAGGACCAUCUCCCAAGGCUAAAUACUACCUAGUGACCGAUAGUGAACCAGUACCGUGAGGGAAAGGUGAAAAGCACCCCGGAAGGGGAGUGAAAGAGAUCCUGAAACCGUGUGCCUACAAGUAGUCAGAGCCCGUUAACGGGUGAUGGCGUGCCUUUUGUAGAAUGAACCGGCGAGUUACGAUCCCAUGCAAGGUUAAGCUGAUAAGGCGGAGCCGUAGCGAAAGCGAGUCUGAAUAGGGCGUUUAGUAUGUGGUUGUAGACCCGAAACCAGGUGAUCUACCCAUGUCCAGGGUGAAGUUCAGGUAACACUGAAUGGAGGCCCGAACCCACGCACGUUGAAAAGUGCGGGGAUGAGGUGUGGGUAGCGGAGAAAUUCCAAUCGAACCUGGAGAUAGCUGGUUCUCUCCGAAAUAGCUUUAGGGCUAGCCUCAUGUUGUGAGAGUCUUGGAGGUAGAGCACUGAUUGGACUAGGGGCCCCCAACGGGUUACCGAAUUCAGUCAAACUCCGAAUGCCAAAGACUUAUCCAUGGGAGUCAGACUGCGAGUGAUAAGAUCCGUAGUCAAAAGGGAAACAGCCCAGACCACCAGCUAAGGUCCCCAAGUAUACGUUAAGUGGAAAAGGAUGUGGAGUUGCUUAGACAACCAGGAUGUUGGCUUAGAAGCAGCCACCAUUUAAAGAGUGCGUAAUAGCUCACUGGUCGAGUGACUCUGCGCCGAAAAUGUACCGGGGCUAAACGUAUCACCGAAGCUGUGGAUUGACAUCUUUGAUGUCAGUGGUAGGAGAGCGUUCUAAGUGCUGUGAAGUCAGACCGUAAGGACUGGUGGAGCGCUUAGAAGUGAGAAUGCCGGUAUGAGUAGCGAAAGACAAGUGAGAAUCUUGUCCACCGAAUGCCUAAGGUUUCCUGAGGAAGGCUCGUCCGCUCAGGGUUAGUCGGGACCUAAGCCGAGGCUGAAAAGCGUAGGCGAUGGCCAACAGGUUGAUAUUCCUGUACCACCUCCCCGCCGUUUGAGUAAUGGGGGGACGCAGUAGGAUAGGGUAAGCGCGCUGCUGGAUAUGCGCGUUCAAGCAGUUAGGCUGAUGAGUAGGCAAAUCCGCUCAUCAUAAAGGCUGAGCUGUGAUGACGAGGGAAUUAUAGUACCGAAGUUCCUGAUUCCACACUGCCAAGAAAAGCCUCUAGCGAGGCGGGAGGUGCCCGUACCGCAAACCGACACAGGUAGGCGAGGAGAGAAUCCUAAGGUGAUCGAGAGAACUCUCGUUAAGGAACUCGGCAAAAUGACCCCGUAACUUCGGGAGAAGGGGUGCUCUGGUAGGGUGUAUAGCCCGAGAGAGCCGCAGUGAAUAGGCCCAGGCGACUGUUUAGCAAAAACACAGGUCUCUGCGAAGCCGCAAGGCGAAGUAUAGGGGCUGACGCCUGCCCGGUGCUGGAAGGUUAAGAGGAGGGGUUAUCCUUUGGGAGAAGCUCUGAAUCGAAGCCCCAGUAAACGGCGGCCGUAACUAUAACGGUCCUAAGGUAGCGAAAUUCCUUGUCGGGUAAGUUCCGACCCGCACGAAAGGCGUAACGAUCUGGGCACUGUCUCAACGAGAGACUCGGUGAAAUUAUAGUACCUGUGAAGAUGCAGGUUACCCGCGACAGGACGGAAAGACCCCGUGGAGCUUUACUGUAGCCUGAUAUUGAAUUUUGGUACAGCUUGUACAGGAUAGGUAGGAGCCUGAGAAGCCGGAGCGCUAGCUUCGGUGGAGGCGUCGGUGGGAUACUACCCUGGCUGUAUUGAAAUUCUAACCCGCGGCCCUGAUCGGGCCGGGAGACAGUGUCAGGUGGGCAGUUUGACUGGGGCGGUCGCCUCCUAAAAUGUAACGGAGGCGCCCAAAGG
Molecule: ribosomal RNA, 2329 nt
Filed under: Priestia megaterium
Lineage: Bacteria; Bacillati; Bacillota; Bacilli; Caryophanales; Bacillaceae
Description: bacterial LSU rRNA
Rfam family: Bacterial large subunit ribosomal RNA
Source: RNAcentral